This 255-nucleotide ribosomal RNA is filed under the name uncultured bacterium. Its description in RNAcentral is "partial 16S ribosomal RNA". It matches the Rfam family "Bacterial small subunit ribosomal RNA", at positions 524 to 776 of the family's 1533-position model. The record is from RNAcentral.
UACGUAGGGGGCAAGCGUUGUCCGGAUUUAUUGGGCGUAAAGAGCGUGUAGGCGGCCAAGCAGGUCCGCUGUGAAAACUCGAGGCUCAACCUCGAGACGUCGGUGGAAACCGUUUGGCUAGAGUCCGGAAGAGGAGAGUGGAAUUCCCGGUGUAGCGGUGAAAUGCGCAGAUAUCGGGAAGAACACCCGUGGCGAAGGCGGCUCUCUGGGACGGUACUGACGCUGAGACGCGAAAAGCGUGGGGGAGCGAACAGG